UUACGGCCACAUCACAUUGGAACACCAGUUCUCGUACAAUCACUGAAGUUAAGCAACGUCGAUCCUGGUCAGUAUUGAGAUGGAUGAGCAUAUGGGAAUGUCA
Molecule: non-coding RNA, 103 nt
Organism: Acanthosepion pharaonis
Lineage: Eukaryota; Metazoa; Mollusca; Cephalopoda; Sepiida; Sepiidae
Source: the annotation of a GenBank genome assembly